Molecule: RNA transcript, 1958 nt
Organism: Juglans microcarpa x Juglans regia
Lineage: Eukaryota; Viridiplantae; Streptophyta; Magnoliopsida; Fagales; Juglandaceae
Gene name: basic leucine zipper 23
Exons: 3
Source: RefSeq, a predicted model, not a curated record
CUUGGCUAACAUCGUCGAUCGUCAUUAAGGUCCCACCUAAGGUUUCAUAGUGAGCCCGCCGAGGACUACCUGGGGUUUCAAUUUCUUUCAAAGCCGCGACCUUUCUCCGAGUCUUCUUGUCACUUUUUUUUUUUAUUAUUCUGAGAGUCUUAAUCGCAUCAAUUCAUUGAAUUCAAAUUAUGAUUUGAAUCUUCUGUAAGGUUCAUUAGGUUUAAGGUUGUGAUGGUAAACCUUUGCUCCCUCGUUGGAAAUCUGUUAUUGUUGGCUUGAUCAUGUAAAUUCUUUGUAGUUUGUUGCCAUGAAAUCUAAUCUGACCUGCGGCUGAAAUGGUUGGAUUGUUUGUGUUUACGCAGUUGAUUUCCAGGGUUUCUGAAUUUUAAUGUGCAAAAUCUCAAGUGGGGGUGUUAUAGUAGUUUUGUUUUGGGCAUCCGAAUCUUUUCAGAACCACAAUUUCCCAUCUGGUUAUUUGUUAAUUUAUAUCAAGACGGAGAACUGGGCUCAAACUUCGUCUGGUUCAACUUCACAGCCAUAAAUUUGUUACCUUGUCACGUAGUUUAUCAUUUUGUUUGGUGGAAGUUUUGAUAUCGAAAUGGACGACGGGGAGCUCGAUUUCUCGAACCAGGAAGCUUUUUCAAGUCCAAAUAUGGGGGAGCUUCUGAGAAGUUGCUCAAUGGAUAGUUUCUUUGAGGAACUUCUUAAGGACUCUCACGCUUGUACUCACACUCACACUUGCAACCCACCCGGCCCUGAUUCUUCGCACACGCACACCUGUUUUCAUGUGCACACUAAAAUAGUACCGGCCCCAAGUGACGACAAGGUUGCCACGGAUGAUACUGCGGAGUCCACUGAAAAGAAUUGCAAGAAACGCCCGAAAGGCAAUCGGGAAGCAGUUCGCAAGUACCGUGAGAAAAAGAAGGCCCGAGCUGCAUCUUUGGAGGAUGAAGUUGUGCGAUUAAGGGCUUUGAAUCUGCAGUUGUUAAAGAGGUUGCAGGGUCAAGCUGCAUUGGAGACAGAAAUUGCAAGGCUGAAGUGUUUGCUUGUGGAUAUUCGAGGAAGGAUUGAAGGGGAGAUUGGAUCGUUUCCAUAUCAGAAAUCAGUCAAUCCAAACUUGCCUAAUCCUAGCAUGCCUGGCCCAUAUGUGAUGAACCCAUGUAACAUGCAGUGUGGUGAUCAGGUCUAUUGUCUUCGUCCAGUGGUGGAUGGCCAAAGUGGAGAGGACGCAUUAUUGAAUGGGCAAGGCCUUAAUGGCUGUGAAUUUGAGAAUCUUCAGUGUUUGGCAAAUCAGAAUUCAGUGUCAAAGGAGCUUCCUGGUUGUGGUAUGGGGUAUUUAGCCUCCGAUGUCAAUUCUUCUGGCACAAAUAAGAGGAAAGGAGGGACUCGUGCAGCAAAAGCAAGUUGAAGUGCUGCUUAGUCAGCAAUUUCUGUAUGCUCGAGGGUAUAUAUGGUCGUCCAAUAAGUAGUAUUGUUGAACUCAUCAUAAGCUUUCCUUGCAGGAAGGAAGCACUGCCUUCUAACUGAAGUUUUGCGAAGGCAUUCAUGUCAUCCACAAUACAUGACGAAAAUCGGGUAACUUUCUCAGUAUGUUGGCUUUAUUUGAAGCAACCUGCCACUGUGAUUACAAACAGAUGGGAGUUCUCACUGCCAUUAGGGUGAGAAAUAAAGGUGGCAAAGAAGAUGCCAUGGGCUUAUUACUAUUUGAUGGAUCUCUCUUUGAAAGGAUGUGUUUUAGCAUGCUUUCUUGUUGAUAAAGAUCCUGAAUUCGUUGGUCAAAUUUGGUAGGUUAACUUUUUGAGUCUACUCGAGAAGAAAGGUGGAGAAUGGGGUGUCUGUUCAAUUCUGCUUAAUGAGUAAAUCUAUUUGUGGGGGAUCUCUCUGCAGUUUUUGUGCCUUCAUGGUAUGCUUAACAACUGUGUAUUGUUUGUUUAGAAACAUAAUUAUUCUGAGAUAUUUUCAGACUA